This 3576-nucleotide long non-coding RNA is filed under the name Salmo salar (Atlantic salmon). RNAcentral's name for it is "lncRNA (ENSSSAG00000092425.1)". Lineage: Eukaryota; Metazoa; Chordata; Actinopteri; Salmoniformes; Salmonidae. The record is from RNAcentral.
AAAAAAUUCUCGGCACUCUUAGUCUCUUUUUCCCACAUCAACCCUGUUGUUCAUAUGCACAAAUGAUAUGGACUAUCCCACUGUCUGGUUUUGUUUAUCUUUCAGUAAAAAUAUCCAUAGUAUUCAGUCUUACGCCCCUCGUCGUCACUGUAGAGGGGAGUGACAGAGUUCAGAAAAUGAGCAGGGCAGCCUGGAACAUUGAGAUCUUACAGGCACAGCCAUCAGCAUUUUGCUCAUGGUACAUAGUGGCUCAUGGCAUUAUGGUUUGACAUAACUUGUGCAAGUAAUAAACAUGUCUUUGAUGCUGAUUCUGAUGUAACAAAUGUGGUUAAUGGACACAAGAUCCCUUAGCCAACAUUUAAUAAAGUGAAAAGUGUACAAAACCACACAUUAUCAGAAGGAGUUGUAAUGACAAGUUGAUGUACAGUAGACCUCUAAAGAGAUAUCGUAAUAGACGCAAGGCCUCUUUGGGUGCUGUUAAACACCCAUAAGGGUGUGGUAGUCGGAAAAUGCUAUCAUUCAUUGAUGAUAACUGUAAAAGUUAUCGCUGGUUCUGUUAUGUUUAUCUGUGAGUCUUAUCAGUGACCGGCCUGGACAGAUCACUUAAUGAUCACCUGUUAAAGCUUGAUUUGUGCAUCUGCUGUCCAACCUAACCCUCACUGAGUCUUAAAGUAACUGUCUCGAGUUUCUAGAUUUCUAUGAAAUAUGACCUAUAAUUACAAUAUGAGUGAAAAAGAUUUCCUUCCAAAAAAAUGGUAAUUAAAAAGCAGCUUUUCUGUGUUUGAAUGGCGUGUGUCACGUUCUUGAAAGUGAGCGGACCAAGGCGCAGCGUGAGUAUAGUUCCACAUAUUUAUUUAAGUGAAACUAACAAAAACAACAAAACUUACAAAGACCGUGAGGACGUAGUGCCCAAACACACUAACAAUCAAUAUCCCACAAAACACAGGUGGGGAAAUAGCUACCUAAAUAUGAUCCCAAUCAGAGACAACGAUAAACAGCUGCCUCUAAUUGGGAACCAUAUUAGCACCAACAUAGAAAUAAACAUACUAGAUCACCCCCUAGUCACGCCCUAACCUACUACACCAUAGAGAACCAAGGGCUCUCUAUGGUCAGGGCGUGACAGUACCCCCCCCCCCAAAGGUGCGGACUCCGGCCGCAAGACCUGAAACCAAAUGGGGAGGGUGGGGGGAGGUGAUUAGUGUCGGUGGCGGCUCCGGUGCAGGUCGAAGCCCACGCCCAGACCCCGGAUCCGGCCAUUGCGCCGGGCUGAAUGCCUUGCCUGGACUGGGCAUCGGCACAAAGGAAGACUCCAGCCAUGGAGCUGGGUUGGACGCUGUGCCUAGACUGGGCACCGGCGCAAAGGAGGACUCCGGCCCUGGAGCUGGGUUGGAUGCCGUGCCUGGACUGGGCACCGGCGCAGAGGAAGGCUCCGGCCUUGGAGCUGGACUGGACGCCGUGCCUGGAUUGGGCACCGGCGCAGAGGAAGGCUCCCGCCCUGGAGCUGGACUGGACGCCGUACCUGGACUGGGCAUUGGCGCAGAGGAACGCUCCCGCCCUGGAGCUGGACUGGACGCCGUGCCUGGACUGAGCACCGGCACAGAAGAAGGCUCCGACCAUGGAGCAGGACUGGACACUGUGCCUGGACUGGGCAUCGGCGCAGAGGAAGAUUCCGGCCUUGGAGCUGGACUGGACACCGUGCCUGGAAGCUCCGCACCGUUGACCGUCGCUGGAGGUUCCGGUCCGUGGACCGUGGCAGGAGGUUCCGGACCGUGAAGCGUCGCGGGAGGUUCCGGACUGGGAACCGUCGCCGGAAGCUCUGGACUGGGAAUGCGCACUGGAGGCCUAGUGCGUGGAGCCGGUACAGGUGGCACCGGACUGGUGACACGCACUUCAGGGCGAGUGCGGGGAAUAGGCACAGGAUGUACCGGACUGGGGACACGAACUUCAGGGCGAGUGCGAGAAGCAGGCACAGGACGUACCGGACUGGGGACACGCACUUCAGGGCGAGUGCGAGGAGCAGGCACAGGACGUACUGGACUGGGGACACGCACUGGAGGCCUGAUGCGUGGGGCCGGCACAGGUUGCACCGGACUGGUGACCGGAUCUUCUGGUUGAAUGUUGAGCAGAACACACUUGCACAACAUCUCUCUCUCCCAACUUCUCCAUUGCCUCCCUGACAGUCUCUGGCUCUUCCCGCGGCUCAGCCGCCAGCUCCAUGUGCCCCCCCCCAAAUAAAUCUUGGGGUUUCUGUGGCUGUGGUCUGACGACACGCGCCUCCGGAGUUUGCCAUUCGGCUCUGGCACUCUCCUCGGCUCAACCGGCCAGCCCUUGUGCCCCCCACCCAAAAAACUUGGGGUUGUCCUUUGGCUUUCUGUGGCUGCGAACCCUGGCGUUGUCGCUGUCCUUCAUUAUUACCUUCCGUCUGCCGCCAAGGGAGGGUUUCGCAUCCACCCAUCACUUCUUCCCAUGUCCAAAACUCCUUUACCUGGUGAACACGCUGCUUGGUCCUGGUUUGUUGGGAUAUUCUGUCACGUUCUUGGUAAUGAGCGGACCAAGGCGCAGCGUGAGUAUAGUUCCACAUAUUUAUUUAAGUGAAACUAACAAAACAACAAAACUUACAAAGACCGUGAGGACGUAGUGCCCAAACACACUAUCAAUCAAUAUCCCACCAAACACAGGUGGGGAAAUAGCUACCUAAAUAUGAUCCCCAAUCAGAGGCAACAAUAAACAGCUGCCUCUAAUUGGGAACCAUAUUAGCACCAACAUAGAAAUAAACAUACUAGAUCACCCCCUAGUCACGCCCUAACCUACUACACCAUAGAGAACCAAGGGCUCUCUAUGGUCAGGGCGUGAUAGCGUGGGCGUGCCCCAAUGACAGAAUAGUGUGGGCGUAUACCGGUCAUUAAAAAUAUUAAUGCGAGUAGACCGCUGACUGGCCAUUUCAUUUCACUAUCCUCUGUGAGGAAAUAGCAAGCAUUUUUAAAACUGUCUGUUCGAGAUACAAGUUUGAGGUGGGGUUUUUGAAGUGUUUUUUUCCCCCCUCCAAUGUAUGCUUUGGCCACAUACGAGUAUAGGAUGAGUCAAUAACGUUAUUUGGGUAUGAGUUAACAGAAUAUGAACUUUUAAAAGUGAUAUUUUCACAGGACAGUUACUUUGAUGGUUUUUGAGUGGUUUAAGAUUAUGUUUGCAGUGUAGCCUAACUUGGGAAGUUUUAUCUUUGCAGGUUUGUCCCCAACCUGACCUGAAAUGGUUGACAUGUACAAUUUUCCAAUUGCAAUUAGAGAGGGAGAAAAACAUUGCAAGCCAUGCUCACGGUGAUGUCUGUAAGCAUGUUCAUGACGGUCCAAUGGACCUGGUUUAAAUUCAAAAACCAUACAAUCUGUGUACGAUGACAUUGUAACAAAAUCGGCUUCCUUUGGGAAACCUGCUAUGCUCAUCAACAUAUGUUUGAAAUACAUUUUGAAUACAUUUUUUGAAAGUACAUUUUUCACUAACACUUUACUGAAAGCAGACAUGUACAAUGGAUUAUUAUGCAAUUAUAAUAAUUAAGAACAUUUCUGUUACACUUAAAAUGGA